Molecule: ribosomal RNA, 467 nt
Filed under: uncultured bacterium
Lineage: Bacteria
Description: partial 16S ribosomal RNA
Rfam family: Bacterial small subunit ribosomal RNA
Source: RNAcentral
GACGAACGCUGGCGGCGUGCUUAACACAUGCAAGUCGAACGGAAAGGCCCUGCUUUUGUGGGGUGCUCGAGUGGCGAACGGGUGAGUAACACGUGAGUAGCCUGACCUUGACUUUGGGAUAACUUCAGGAAACUGGGGCUAAUACCGGAUAGGAGCUCCUGCUGCAUGGUGGGGGUUGGAAAGUUUCGGCGGUUGGGGAUGGACUCGCGGCUUAUCAGCUUGUUGGUGGGGUAGUGGCUUACCAAGGCUUUGACGGGUAGCCGGCCUGAGAGGGUGACCGGCCACAUUGGGACUGAGGUACGGCCCAGACUGCUACGGGAGGCAGCAGUGGGGAAUAUUGCACAAUGGGCGGAAGCCUGAUGCAGCAACGCCGCGUGCGGGAUGACGGCCUUCGGGUUGUAAACCGCUUUCGCCUGUGACGAAGCGUGAGUGACGGUAAUGGGGAAAGAAGCACCGGCUAACUACGU